Molecule: unclassified non-coding RNA, 209 nt
Filed under: soil metagenome
Description: partial contains 5.8S ribosomal RNA, internal transcribed spacer 2, and large subunit ribosomal RNA
Source: RNAcentral
AACGAGGCCGACCUGCGGCUGAGUUACCUGCGGAAGGAUCAUUACUGAGUGAGGGCCUUCGGGCUCGACCUCCAACCCUUUGUGAACACAACUUGUUGCUUCGGGGGCGACCCUGCCGUUUCGACGGCGAGCGCCCCCGGAGGCCUUCAAACACUGCAUCUUUGCGUCGGAGUUUAAGUAAAUUAAACAAAACUUUUAGCAACGGAUCU